CCUGUUUUACAAAAACAUGUCUUUUUGAGUUAUUUUUAAAGUCUGACCUGCCCACUGAAGUUAUUUAAAUGGCCGCAGUAUUUUAACUGUGCAAAGGUAGCAUAAUCAUUAGUCUUUUAAUUGAAGGCUGGUAUGAACGGUUGGACGAGGUAUAAGCUGUUUCAUAUAAAUUUAUAAUAGAAUUUUAUGUUUUAGUUAAAAAGCUAAAAUAUAAUUAAAAGACGAGAAGACCCUAUAAAUCUUUAUACUUUAUGUUUUUUAAAUUUUUUAGAUUAUAUUUUAUUUUUAAAAUUUGAAGUAUUUUGUUGGGGUGAUGUUAAAAUUUAAUGAACUUUUAAUUAUUUAAAAUCAUUAAUUUAUGAUUUAUUGAUCCAUUAAUAGUGAUUAUAAGAUUAAGUUACUUUAGGGAUAACAGCGUAAUUUUUUUGGAGAGUUCAUAUCGAUAAAAAAGGUUGCGACCUCGAUGUUGGAUUAAGAUAUAUUUUUAGGUGUAGCUGCUUAAAU
This 504-nucleotide ribosomal RNA is filed under the name Bactrocera abscondita. RNAcentral's name for it is "partial large subunit ribosomal RNA". It matches the Rfam family "Bacterial large subunit ribosomal RNA", at positions 1799 to 2568 of the family's 2925-position model. Lineage: Eukaryota; Metazoa; Arthropoda; Insecta; Diptera; Tephritidae. The record is from RNAcentral.